CCUANGGGUGGCUGCAGUCAAGAAUCUUCCUCAAUGGACGAAAGUCUGAAGGAGCAAUGCCGCGUGAUCGAUGAAGCUCUUCGGAGUGUAAAGGUCUUUUAUCAGGGACGAAUUUGUGACGGUACCUGAAGAAUAAGUCACUGCUAACUUCGUGCCAGCAGCAGCGGUAAUACGAAGGUGGCAAGCGUUACCCGGAAUGAUUGGGCGUAAAGCGUCCGCAGACGGUCAGAAAAGUUCUUGGUUAAAUCUGGUGGCUCAACCUCCAGACCGCCGAGAAUACUUUUUGACUAGAGACUGGAAGAGGCAAGCGGAAUUGCCGGUGUAGUAGUAAAAUGCGUUGAUAUCGGCAGGAACACCAAAAGCGAAGGCAGCUUGCUAGUACAGUUCUGACGUUCAGGGACGAAAGCGUGGGUAGCGAAUGGGAUUAGAUACCCCANUANUC
Molecule: ribosomal RNA, 442 nt
Filed under: uncultured bacterium
Lineage: Bacteria
Description: bacterial SSU rRNA
Rfam family: Bacterial small subunit ribosomal RNA
Source: RNAcentral